AAGGUGCGAGGACAGCAAAGACUCUCUUUAUAACACACCCAACAGGAAUCUGUGGUCAUUGUGAUCAGGUGCACAAAACUGUGGCUUCACUACGAACAAAUUCUCUACAUGU
Otolemur garnettii (small-eared galago) is the source of this 112-nucleotide small nucleolar RNA. Lineage: Eukaryota; Metazoa; Chordata; Mammalia; Primates; Galagidae. The record is from Ensembl.